Molecule: long non-coding RNA, 437 nt
Organism: Diceros bicornis minor
Lineage: Eukaryota; Metazoa; Chordata; Mammalia; Perissodactyla; Rhinocerotidae
Exons: 3
Source: RefSeq, a predicted model, not a curated record
UGGGGAAAAGCCUGGCAGCUCAACAACCUGAGGCCCAAGAUGGUGAUCGCUGCACUGCCGCGAACUGCUCCCACUGCCGGGCAAUGAGGAGAAACGGCUGUCGCCUUCCACAGGGAGCCUGCCUUGAUCUCUGUGAUCAGGAAUGUGGCUGAGCAAAUGGAGCUUGUACCUCCAGGAUGGACGUGCCUCCCAGAUGCUAGUUGCUAGAAGAGUCCUGGCAGUGGAGGGAAAGUUGGCUCUGCACUGAAGGCUCCACAUAAAGGGCUCAAAACGUCUGGUUCAGUGGUUAAAAGCUGUUCACAGGGAUGACUGGAACCCACUAAGCAUUCUUUCAUCUGUAGUGAACAUUUCACCAAAAAAAGCUCUUGGAAAGGCUGGAGGGUCAGUACUACGUGCUCAAGCCAUGGCCGUGCCCUCAAUCUUCCACCCAACUGAGA